RNAcentral lists this ribosomal RNA (110 nucleotides) under Salvator merianae (Argentine black and white tegu). The record is from RNAcentral. Lineage: Eukaryota; Metazoa; Chordata; Lepidosauria; Squamata; Teiidae.
UCCUGAACCGCAGCCUCGCUGGUCGCCUGAGCUCAGAUUCAGCCAAGCAAGGUUGGGCCGGUUAGUUAUUGGGAUGGGAGGCCACCUGGAAAUGCCAGGUGUUGCAGGCC